This is a long non-coding RNA of Pieris rapae (cabbage white), 293 nucleotides long. RefSeq lists it as uncharacterized. The record is from RefSeq and is a predicted model, not a curated record. NCBI's taxonomy places the organism in Eukaryota, Metazoa, Arthropoda, Insecta, Lepidoptera, Pieridae. The transcript has 3 exons.
AUGCCCACGGUAUUCUCAGACACGUACGGCGUUAUACAGUUGGAGCGAGAUGAAAACAGUUUUCACACUAUACAUCACACCUAAAACUAAGCGAUCCCAAUGAUGACCGAUCUAGUUGGAGUAGGGCUUCGCAGCUGUCUCUCAUCCAACAAACUGGCAGCUCUAAGUCUCAUCUCAGGUAUCUUACGUCUCCACCACCAACUUCUCAGACAAGCCAUGAGUCUCGCACCCUGAGUCUUACAGCGACGAACAAUGCUACUCUUUUUGGACCCCAAGGCGGAGCUGGAGACACC